GUUGACACGUGCUUUACAUGCGUGUGGGAGUUUCUCUCGGUGUAUUGACGCUUCGAUUUCAUUUCACGCCACCCCAAGGCCUAAGGAGAAAAGAAAAUAUAAAUU
Long non-coding RNA from Populus euphratica (Euphrates poplar), 105 nucleotides. RefSeq lists it as uncharacterized. NCBI's taxonomy places the organism in Eukaryota, Viridiplantae, Streptophyta, Magnoliopsida, Malpighiales, Salicaceae. The record is from RefSeq and is a predicted model, not a curated record. The transcript is spliced from 3 exons.